Molecule: ribosomal RNA, 744 nt
Filed under: Arthrobacter sp.
Lineage: Bacteria; Bacillati; Actinomycetota; Actinomycetes; Micrococcales; Micrococcaceae
Description: bacterial SSU rRNA
Rfam family: Bacterial small subunit ribosomal RNA
Source: RNAcentral
CUCAGGAUGAACGCUGGCGGCGUGCUUAACACAUGCAAGUCGAACGAUGAUGCCAGCUUGCUGGCGGAUUAGUGGCGAACGGGUGAGUAACACGUGAGUAACCUGCCCUUAACUCUGGGAUAAGCCUGGGAAACUGGGUCUAAUACCGGAUAUGACUCCUCAUCGCAUGGUGGGGGGUGGAAAGCUUUUUUGUGGUUUUGGAUGGACUCGCGGCCUAUCAGCUUGUUGGUGAGGUAAUGGCUCACCAAGGCGACGACGGGUAGCCGGCCUGAGAGGGUGACCGGCCACACUGGGACUGAGACACGGCCCAGACUCCUACGGGAGGCAGCAGUGGGGAAUAUUGCACAAUGGGCGAAAGCCUGAUGCAGCGACGCCGCGUGAGGGAUGACGGCCUUCGGGUUGUAAACCUCUUUCAGUAGGGAAGAAGCGAAAGUGACGGUACCUGCAGAAGAAGCGCCGGCUAACUACGUGCCAGCAGCCGCGGUAAUACGUAGGGCGCAAGCGUUAUCCGGAAUUAUUGGGCGUAAAGAGCUCGUAGGCGGUUUGUCGCGUCUGCCGUGAAAGUCCGGGGCUCAACUCCGGAUCUGCGGUGGGUACGGGCAGACUAGAGUGAUGUAGGGGAGACUGGAAUUCCUGGUGUAGCGGUGAAAUGCGCAGAUAUCAGGAGGAACACCGAUGGCGAAGGCAGGUCUCUGGGCAUUAACUGACGCUGAGGAGCGAAAGCAUGGGGAGCGAACAGGAUUA